GCUAGGACGAACGCUGGCGGCGUGCCUAAUACAUGCAAGUCGAACGGUCUUUCUAUGGAAGCUUGCUUCCACUGAGAAGAUAGUGGCGAACGGGUGAGUAACACGUGGGUAACCUGCCCAUAAGAGGGGGAUAACAUCCGGAAACGGGUGCUAAUACCGCAUAGUUUUCUUGAUCGCAUGAUCGGGAAAGGAAAGACGGCCUUUGUGCUGUCGCUUAUGGAUGGACCCGCGGCGUAUUAGUUAGUUGGUGAGGUAACGGCUCACCAAGACGAUGAUACGUAGCCGACCUGAGAGGGUGAUCGGCCACAUUGGGACUGAGACACGGCCCAAACUCCUACGGGAGGCAGCAGUAGGGAAUCUUCCGCAAUGGACGAAAGUCUGACGGAGCAACGCCGCGUGAGUGAAGAAAGGUUUUCGGAUCGUAAAACUCUGUUGUCAGAGAAGAACAAGUUGGAGAGUAACUGCUCCAGCCUUGACGGUAUCUGACCAGAAAGCCACGGCUAACUACGUGCCAGCCGCAGC
This 522-nucleotide ribosomal RNA is filed under the name uncultured bacterium. RNAcentral's name for it is "bacterial SSU rRNA". It matches the Rfam family "Bacterial small subunit ribosomal RNA", at positions 26 to 518 of the family's 1533-position model. The record is from RNAcentral.